Molecule: ribosomal RNA, 500 nt
Filed under: uncultured bacterium
Lineage: Bacteria
Description: partial 16S ribosomal RNA
Rfam family: Bacterial small subunit ribosomal RNA
Source: RNAcentral
AUUGAACGCUGGCGGCAGGCCUAACACAUGCAAGUCGAGCGGAUGAGAAGAGCUUGCUCUUCGAUUCAGCGGCGGACGGGUGAGUAAUGCCUAGGAAUCUGCCUGGUAGUGGGGGACAACGUUUCGAAAGGAACGCUAAUACCGCAUACGUCCUACGAGCGAAAGCAGGGGACCUUCGGGCCUUGCGCUAUCAGAUGCGCCUAGGUCGGAUUAGCUAGUUGGUGAGGGAAUGGCUCACCAAGGCGACGAUCCGUAACUGGUCUGAGAGGAUGAUCAGUCACACUGGAACUGAGAAACGGUCCAGACUCCUACGGGAGGCAGCAGUGGGGAAUAUUGGACAAUGGGCGAAAGCCUGAUCCAGCCAUGCCGCGUGUGUCAAGAAGGUCUUCGGAUUGUAAAGCACUUUAAGUUGGGAGGAAGGGCAUUAACCUAAUACGUUAGUGUUUUGACGUUACCGACAGAAUAAGCACCGGCUAACUCUGUGCCAGCAGCCGCGGUAA